UGUUGGGGCCAUAGGCAUAGGGUCAAGGAACUUCGUGGGUACACACACAAACAGCUGACAGACAGGUACACAGAUGUUUGUAACUCCUUCCCACCUUCCCUAUCCUAACGGAAACUGCAGGUAGAUGAACACUAGCUGUCAUCUGCCACCUCAACGACCGACCCUCGUCCACUUCUACCACCGCCGCGAUUAGAGUCGGUCGACGCACCUUACGCUCCCGUCACUCAAUCCGCGAUAGAAGCACAAUCCGCCGCGUACUACAACACACGUAGCUCUACGCCGCGCACCGGUACAUCAGCACAUCAACCUGGAGAAGAACGGGUGGAAAAUCGAAGAGGUCAAACGCAUUUGAUCAGCCGGACAACCGUUCCUGCCAGGUCAGUUUCUUUCCUUUAAACUUCCCCCUUGCUCCUCCAUUUCAUGGUCCUUCGUAAACCGGAUAUUCCCUAUUCCAGUCCAUCCCGGUUUAUUAUUUACAAACAUUUGUCUAAACUUCAGCACGUAACUGAAGUCUUCUGCCAGCUGUUUUGUGUGUGUCAUCGUGACGUCACUUAGUUUUUUUUCCCUUAGUCUAUGGUCAAUCGGUAAGAAUCGGUUAGUCGAGUAGUGUCCAUCACUACUCAACUUCAAUCAGUAUUCCGAGGAUAGCACAGAGUAGAAGUUUGACGUCUGACACAUUACUUUUUAAUUCAACUGGGACUGUUUAGAGCUUAGUGGCUCUUUGGGGGGCGGUUUAUGUUGGGGCCAUAGGCAUAGGGUCAAGGAACUUCGUGGGUACACACACAAACAGCUGACAGACAGGUACACAGAUGUUUGUAACUCCUUCCCACCUUCCCUAUCCUAACGGAAACUGCAGGUAGAUGAACACUAGCUGUCAUCUGCCACCUCAACGACCGACCCUCGUCCACUUCUACCACCGCCGCGAUUAGAGUCGGUCGACGCACCUUACGCUCCCGUCACUCAAUCCGCGAUAGAAGCACAAUCCGCCGCGUACUACAACACACGUAGCUCUACGCCGCGCACCGGUACAUCAGCACAUCAACCUGGAGAAGAACGGGUGGAAAAUCGAAGAGGUCAAACGCAUUUGAUCAGCCGGACAACCGUUCCUGCCAG
Plutella xylostella (diamondback moth) is the source of this 1113-nucleotide non-coding RNA. The record is from RefSeq and is a predicted model, not a curated record. NCBI's taxonomy places the organism in Eukaryota, Metazoa, Arthropoda, Insecta, Lepidoptera, Plutellidae.